GGGAAGCCAUCAAUUAAAAUCUGCAAUAAACAACAAAUACUUAGAAAAAUUCAAAUAGUAGGCAUCCACAGGCACUCUCCAAGAGGGAAGCCAUCAAUCAACAAUUAAAAUUAGAAUGACAGUAACAAAUUUUUUCUAAACAACUUUUUCUAACUUGAUUACACAAUUAUAAGCAUCAAGUCCUUCCAUCUGAGGCAUUAAUUGAAGUUGUUAAGGUCCAAUCAAAGGUCGAAAAAUUUUACCUGACCGUUAGUUGGUUCAUAAAGACGAAGCAAAAGAUUCACCAAUGUGCUUUUCCCACUGCCACUGAGACCAACCUGACAAUUAAAAUUAAAGCAAAGCUGAAAGUAAUUUCCAAUGAUCACUGUUGAAGCAAGAUAUUGUAUAAGAGAACUAACACACUUACAAUUGCAACCACUUGACCUGGAUGCACUGAAAGGUUUACAUGUUGCAGUACAGGUAUCGCUGCCCUUGAUGGAUAAUAAAAGGAUACAUUUACAAAUUCUAUCUGUCCCACCAGCCUCUGCAACUUCAAACCUUUUGAUAUGAAUUGGUCACUUGGCAAGAGAUCCAUCAAUUGGAAGACCUUCUCACUUGCCCCAACAGAUUGCAUAAGAGAAGAUAAAUUAUCCCCCACCCACCAUGUAGAAUAUAUCAGCCACUCACUAUAUAAUAUAAACUUUGUAAGUUUCUCAGCUGUAAUAUGACCACCCAGAAUAAACGUUCCUCCGACUAGCACAGCAAUGACCUGAGUAGAAUGAUAAAGUGUGUUGAAACUCAAAUUCCAAAAUCCAUAUGCUGCACUUUGUCGCAAACUUAUACCAGCUAAUUUCUCCAACCACAGUUUGUACCUUUCAAGUUCUAAAUUUUCUGUACCAUAAAUACGGACUGUUCUCAUCAAAGAAAAUGCCUCUUGUGCCACUUGAUUAGCAGAAGCAGUGAACUCUUGAGUUAACUUUGCGGCCUUCUUCUGGUACAUGCCAUAUAUCAGCAUUACAGCUGCUAAAGUUGAGCAUAUUAUCAAUGUACACAGACCAAGUGGCAAGGAAAGAAUUAACAAGUAGAUCAAGGCACCUGUACCCUGUACAGCAUUGCGUAGAAUCAAAUUAAGAUCAUUUCCAAUAACCCGAGACACUUGCUGACAAUCUGAUCCAAGCCUACUUGUCAAAUCACCAACUGUUUCAUUGUCAAAAAAAGAUAUAUCCUGAAGAAGAAGAGCAGAAUAUAGUGUUUCCCUCAUUCGCUUUACCUAUAAAUAUUACAGGAACACGUCAGCAUCGCAGUCAUCCUUCCAAAGGGGAAAUAUUGUUUCAAAUAACAUUCCCUUAUUUACCAUAUGUACAAAAUUGAGUCAACCUGAUUUUCUUUAACUCAGACAUGAUGUUUGUGUAAAGCAAGAUUGAAAAUAAUACAGACAAUGGCAGCAACCAGGAAGCAAAAAAUAGCAUAUGAUAAUUCUAUUAAUUGAAGAAGUAAUCAAUGAGAGAGCAACUCACAAGAAUCAUAUUUGCAAUGCCAAAAAAGCAACCUCGUAGACCACUGAAGUUCAUAUAAACAGAAAACGAGUUCAGUAGGGCAGUCAUAAAGUUCAUUAAGAAGGAUCACGUUCCAUACACAGAGUAUAGAAGGUCUCAUUGAGGCACAAGUUCAAUACAGUGAACAGAAAAUGAUAUGAUAUUGCAUAUAAAACUGAAUUGGUUCUACAUUUUCAGUAAGAUAACAAAUUAAUGGCACAUCAAUAAUAUGAAACAGUAAACAAUUUUUUAUUUAUGAAAAUGCAAACAAAAAAAAAAUCUCAUAUAAAAUGAUCGGAUUGUAAAUUUUGUUCACUUCCAAUCAGUCCUAUACAUGAGCAGGUGUAGAAAAAGGGUUGCGUGUUGUAGUUUACAGCUUAAAGAAGAAGGGACUUUCGACCAUACAAGAUUUUGACCUGCAUAUUCCUGCUAUAACACAUAGCAACACCAAGAGUCGCACGUUUUGAUGGAAUAAUGCAAUUUGAGUACUCUGGGCAGAAAAGAUCGACGCUGUCAGGAAAUGUGGUAUUGAGAUCUCCGAAACCGCUGCAACAAUUAGAGCAGAGAAAGCGGCGAAAAUAACCCAACGAUCAUGGGCAACCAAUUGCCACAUCCGACCAAGCGCCCGCCACAUGGUCACCGGUUUGGCCAAAAAUUUAAUCUCCACAUCCUCAGAGAAGCUCCACCAAUUUCCGCCAGGCAAAAUUGAUGGAAGAAACUCAAAAAAACUUCCUAAUUCUCCCAUGCAGCUCAAAAUUUUCUUCUCGCUGCUCUCCUUCAAACUGCUCUACAUGAUCCUUUUUAGCGAUGGAAAAUCCGUUAAUUGAAGAAGACUUCAGAGGACAGAAGCAACGUCGUCCACUGCUGAGGGAAAAUUCAGAGGGAGAGAAUCGGAGUUUAGUAUUGGCAGCUGGGCGGAUGCUGAGAGGUCGUUGAUUCUUGCAGUGAAGCGAAGAGAGUAAGCAACGCUGUGCUAAAGG
Molecule: unclassified non-coding RNA, 2494 nt
Filed under: Hevea brasiliensis (rubber tree)
Lineage: Eukaryota; Viridiplantae; Streptophyta; Magnoliopsida; Malpighiales; Euphorbiaceae
Source: RNAcentral